Long non-coding RNA from Paramisgurnus dabryanus, 4157 nucleotides. RefSeq lists it as uncharacterized. The record is from RefSeq and is a predicted model, not a curated record. NCBI's taxonomy places the organism in Eukaryota, Metazoa, Chordata, Actinopteri, Cypriniformes, Cobitidae.
AAGGUGACGAUCUUUUGGGCGGAACCAAAAGUCGGGAAACUUUGGUUCCGCCCGGAUGUUUCCGCCCAGACCGAAGAACGGAAACACCGGACAUCCGGCAGCCUCGCGAAGGCUGUAAUCAGCCGAUUGAGCACAGCUGUGCCUAGUUAAAGAGAUCGCCGGGCAAUUGGAUGACUGAAGUACAGAGAGGAGUAUUUAAAGCACAGUUAAAUGACAGUUCAGGAGUUCGGGCACGAGAGGGGGAUUGACACGGGGAGAGCUCCUCUGCUUAGGGCAGGAGAGGUAACUACGUACCUUUUGAAGAGCCCGCAGGCUCUGUUGAUCCGGGCUGCGCUUGAAGCGCGCGGAAAGAAGACAGGAGCUGCCUGGGGCGAAAGAAAGGCGAUACGUGAGUGGAGAAAAGGAGCACCCCGAAGAGAGCAUUGUGCUGUCAAGCCUGUGCGUAGUGUGUGCUGGGAAACGGAGCUGUGCUCAUUUUUGGACGUGGUGGCUGUCUGUGUUUCUCUCUCUCUCUCUCGUUGCAGUCUUUAUUGUGGACCUGCUGGAGUAAACAGGAAGAUCCUAUGGGUAAGAAGGAACUUUGUUCUAACCAAUACUGAAGGAGUAAAGCAGGAAGAAAAUUGACCUUCUGGUACAACGUAAACAAAGGCUAUCCGCCGUGAGUAUACCCUUUUUGUGUGAAGUAACUGGCAAAAAUUAACUUGUGUAACCAUUGGAAACCUCCAGGAGAAGGAGGGCGGCCCUACCCCUACAAGAGUGUGGUGGGCGAGCCGUUAGAAGUACAAAUUCAAACAGCCACCGCAACGAGACUUAUUGUGGUCGUAUUUCCCAUCGCCUUAUCGUAGCCCAAGCGCAGUGGAGGACACCGGGCGCUUCCCUUGUUGUGGUGCACUUAUAGUGUGGUGAGUGAGACUGUGUAAUAAAUCUUUUCACGUUGGAGUGGUGCUGUGUAUUUGCUGUGGGUUGCUGUGUGUCUUGUAGACGAAGCCCCGCAUCAUCCAUUUUCUUCCUCUGGGCAGAGGACGGAGAGGCCAACGACCUCAGAAACUACUGUUACCAUAUGUAGUGUGCUGUUUGGAGUACGAAGGGACGCAGACUAAGAGCUGUCCGCGACCGUGAGUAAACCAUUGGAAACAUUCGUGGUGUGAACUUACCUGUGUCUGUUUUGUCGCAGAGUCAGAGGCGAAAGGGUCCGCCGCCCCGUGGUCUCUACGAAAAGGGCGCCCCCGUCUAGGAAUCGAUCGGCCUAUGGGCAUUGGAGAUAGGGCAGCGCUCGACCCGGUGAGGUGGUGUGUGACCUUCGCCCCUCUGCCGACCUACGGAGGAGGACCAUACCUACCCAGAAAGCUGUAAACAGCAGAGCCGCGGCCACCUGUGGAGAGAGAGCAGAACGAGAGUGAAUCAUUGGAGAGCAAACUGUGAACGUGAUACCUACCCAGAAAGCUGUAAACAGCAGAGCCGGUGAGAAAUACUCGAAGUCUCAGUAACAGUGUCUUUGUGUUCUAGCGGCCACCUGUGGAGAGAGAGCAGAACGAGAGUGAAUCAUUGAAGAGCAAACUGUGAACGUGAUACCUACCCAGAAAGCUGUAAACAGCAGAGCCGGUGAGAAAUACUCGAAGUCUCAGUAACAGUGUCUUUGUGUCCUAGCGGCCACCUGUGGAGAGAGAGCAGAACGAGAGUGAAUAAUCGAAGAACAACCUGUGAACGUGAUACCUACCCAGAAAGCUGUAAACAGCAGAGCCGGUGAGAAAUACUCGAAGUCUCAGUAACAGUGUCUUUGUGUCCUAGUGGCCUCCUGUGGAGAGAACGGAAAACGAGAAGGAACAUGAGGAGAAUGGACUGUGUGAAGAUACAGUGGUGGUGGAGGAGAGCCUAGAGUGGCCAUUGUUUUAAGUCCCCCGUUUCCCCUUCCCUAUUUAAUAUUUUUAAGUAAUUUAAUAAAGGAUAUUUUAAUUUUAUGCUUACCUGGUGUGUCUGGUCAUUGGGGUGGCUUUGGGAAUCUCCUCGAGGUGGAGAAAGGGGCGUGACCUUAUUCAAAUCUGGGUCCACCCCUACCUGUGACAGAUUUGGCGUAGUCGGCAGUCCACCUCGGGUUGAGACCAAGGUCCCCCAAUGGCCUACCACGUUUUUUUAAAGAAAAGCUCCCAUCAACACCCUAUCAGUCCCUAAACAACGCGUUCUCGGGACGAGAACGGAUUGGCGGGGGAGGAUGUCACAAGGUGACGAUCUUUUGGGCGGAACCAAAAGUCGGGAAACUUUGGUUCCGCCCGGAUGUUUCCGCCCAGACCGAAGAACGGAAACACCGGACAUCCGGCAGCCUCGCGAAGGCUGUAAUCAGCCGAUUGAGCACAGCUGUGCCUAGUUAAAGAGAUCGCCGGGCAAUUGGAUGACUGAAGUACAGAGAGGAGUAUUUAAAGCACAGUUAAAUGACAGUUCAGGAGUUCGGGCACGAGAGGGGGAUUGACACGGGGAGAGCUCCUCUGCUUAGGGCAGGAGAGGUAACUACGUACCUUUUGAAGAGCCCGCAGGCUCUGUUGAUCCGGGCUGCGCUUGAAGCGCGCGGAAAGAAGACAGGAGCUGCCUGGGGCGAAAGAAAGGCGAUACGUGAGUGGAGAAAAGGAGCACCCCGAAGAGAGCAUUGUGCUGUCAAGCCUGUGCGUAGUGUGUGCUGGGAAACGGAGCUGUGCUCAUUUUUGGACGUGGUGGCUGUCUGUGUUUCUCUCUCUCUCUCUCGUUGCAGUCUUUAUUGUGGACCUGCUGGAGUAAACAGGAAGAUCCUAUGGGUAAGAAGGAACUUUGUUCUAACCAAUACUGAAGGAGUAAAGCAGGAAGAAAAUUGACCUUCUGGUACAACGUAAACAAAGGCUAUCCGCCGUGAGUAUACCCUUUUUGUGUGGAGUAACUGGCAAAAAUUAACUUGUGUAACCAUUGGAAACCUCCAGGAGAAGGAGGGCGGCCCUACCCCUACAAGAGUGUGGUGGGCGAGCCGUUAGAAGUACAAAUUCAAACAGCCACCGCAACGAGACUUAUUGUGGUCGUAUUUCCCAUCGCCUUAUCGUAGCCCAAGCGCAGUGGAGGACACCGGGCGCUUCCCUUGUUGUGGUGCACUUAUAGUGUGGUGAGUGAGACUGUGUAAUAAAUCUUUUCACGUUGGAGUGGUGCUGUGUAUUUGCUGUGGGUUGCUGUGUGUCUUGUAGACGAAGCCCCGCAUCAUCCAUUUUCUUCCUCUGGGCAGAGGACGGAGAGGCCAACGACCUCAGAAACUACUGUUACCAUAUGUAGUGUGCUGUUUGGAGUACGAAGGGACGCAGACUAAGAGCUGUCCGCGACCGUGAGUAAACCAUUGGAAACAUUCGUGGUGUGAACUUACCUGUGUCUGUUUUGUCGCAGAGUCAGAGGCGAAAGGGUCCGCCGCCCCGUGGUCUCUACGAAAAGGGCGCCCCCGUCUAGGAAUCGAUCGGCCUAUGGGCAUUGGAGAUAGGGCAGCGCUCGACCCGGUGAGGUGGUGUGUGACCUUCGCCCCUCUGCCGACCUACGGAGGAGGACCAUACCUACCCAGAAAGCUGUAAACAGCAGAGCCGCGGCCACCUGUGGAGAGAGAGCAGAACGAGAGUGAAUCAUUGGAGAGCAAACUGUGAACGUGAUACCUACCCAGAAAGCUGUAAACAGCAGAGCCGGUGAGAAAUACUCGAAGUCUCAGUAACAGUGUCUUUGUGUUCUAGCGGCCACCUGUGGAGAGAGAGCAGAACGAGAGUGAAUCAUUGAAGAGCAAACUGUGAACGUGAUACCUACCCAGAAAGCUGUAAACAGCAGAGCCGGUGAGAAAUACUCGAAGUCUCAGUAACAGUGUCUUUGUGUCCUAGCGGCCACCUGUGGAGAGAGAGCAGAACGAGAGUGAAUAAUCGAAGAACAACCUGUGAACGUGAUACCUACCCAGAAAGCUGUAAACAGCAGAGCCGGUGAGAAAUACUCGAAGUCUCAGUAACAGUGUCUUUGUGUCCUAGUGGCCUCCUGUGGAGAGAACGGAAAACGAGAAGGAACAUGAGGAGAAUGGACUGUGUGAAGAUACAGUGGUGGUGGAGGAGAGCCUAGAGUGGCCAUUGUUUUAAGUCCCCCGUUUCCCCUUCCCUAUUUAAUAUUUUUAAGUAAUUUAAUAA